UAGUAAUGGGCGAAAGCCUGAACUAGCAACGCCGCGUGUGCGAAGAAGGCCUUCGGGUUGUAAAGCACUUUUUGAGAGGAUGAGGAAGGACGGUACUCUCAGAAUAAGUCUCGGCUAACUACGUGCCAGCAGCCGCGGUAACACGUAGGAGGCGAACGUUAUCCGGAUUUACUGGGCGUAAAGCGCGUGUAGGUGGUUUGGUAAGUAGGGCGUGAAAGCUCCUGGCUCAACUGGGAGAGGCCGUUCUAAACUGCCGAACUAGAGGAUGGUAGAGGGAGGUGGAAUUCCGGGUGUAGCGGUGGAAUGCGCAGAUAUCCGGAGGAACACCAGUGGCGAAAGCGGCCUCCUGGACCACUCCUGACACUCAGACGCGAAAGCUAGGGUAGCAAACGG
RNAcentral lists this ribosomal RNA (393 nucleotides) under uncultured bacterium. RNAcentral describes it as "bacterial SSU rRNA". It matches the Rfam family "Bacterial small subunit ribosomal RNA", at positions 365 to 775 of the family's 1533-position model. The record is from RNAcentral.